GACGAACGCUGGCGGCGUGCCUAACACAUGCAAGUUGAGCGACGAACCAGGGCUUGCCCUGGGGCAAAGCAGCGAACGGGUGAGUAACACGUGGGUAACCUACCCCGAUAACCGGGACAACCCGAGGAAACUCGGGUUAAUACCGGAUGUGCUCACUGGACUUCGGUUCAGUGCGUAAAGGAAGCUUCGGCCUCCGUAUCGGGAGGGGCCCGCGGCCCAUUAGUUUGUUGGUGAGGUAACGGCUCACCAAGACCGCGAUGGGUAGCUGGUCUGAGAGGACGAUCAGCCACACUGGGACUGAGACACGGCCCAGACUCCUACGGGAGGCAGCAGUGGGGAAUCUUGCGCAAUGCGCGAAAGCGUGACGCAGCAACGCCGCGUGGGGGAAGAAGGCCUUCGGGUUGUAAACCCCUUUCAGGAGGGACGAAGGUUCGGCGGUGAAUAGCCGUCCGGACUGACGGUACCUCCACAAGAAGCCCCGGCUAACUACGUG
RNAcentral lists this ribosomal RNA (493 nucleotides) under uncultured bacterium. Its description in RNAcentral is "partial 16S ribosomal RNA". It matches the Rfam family "Bacterial small subunit ribosomal RNA", at positions 28 to 507 of the family's 1533-position model. The record is from RNAcentral.